Molecule: ribosomal RNA, 832 nt
Filed under: Montagnula acaciae
Lineage: Eukaryota; Fungi; Ascomycota; Dothideomycetes; Pleosporales; Didymosphaeriaceae
Description: SSU rRNA
Rfam family: Eukaryotic small subunit ribosomal RNA
Source: RNAcentral
AUACCGUGAAACUGCGAAUGGCUCAUUAAAUCAGUUAUCGUUUAUUUGAUAGUACCUUACUACUUGGAUAACCGUGGUAAUUCUAGAGCUAAUACAUGCUAAAAACCCCAACUUCGGGAGGGGUGUAUUUAUUAGAUAAAAAACCAAUGCCCUUCGGGGCUCCUUGGUGAUUCAUGAUAACUUCUCAGAUCGCAUAGCCUUGAGCUGGCGACGGUUCAUUCAAAUUUCUGCCCUAUCAACUUUCGAUGGUAAGGUAGUGGCUUACCAUGGUUGCAACGGGUAACGGGGAAUUAGGGUUCGAUUCCGGAGAGGGAGCCUGAGAAACGGCUACCACAUCCAAGGAAGGCAGCAGGCGCGCAAAUUACCCAAUUCCGAUACGGAGAGGUAGUGACAAUAAAUACUGAUACAGGGCUCUUUUGGGUCUUGUAAUUGGAAUGAGUACAAUUUAAACCUCUUAACGAGGAACAAUUGGAGGGCAAGUCUGGUGCCAGCAGCCGCGGUAAUUCCAGCUCCAAUAGCGUAUAUUAAAGUUGUUGCAGUUAAAAAGCUCGUAGUUGAACCUUUGGCCUGGCUGGCAGGUCCGCCUCACCGCGUGCACUUGUCCGGCCGGGCCUUUUCUUCUGGAGAACCGCAUGCCCUUCACUGGGUGUGUUGGGGACCAGGACUUUUACUUUGAAAAAAUUAGAGUGUUCAAAGCAGGCCUUUGCUCGAAUACGUUAGCAUGGAAUAAUAGAAUAGGACGUGCGGUCCUAUUUUGUUGGUUUCUAGGACCGCCGUAAUGAUUAAUAGGGACAGUCGGGGGCAUCAGUAUUCAAUUGUCAGAGGUGAAAUU